ACGCCGAUUACCUCGCUUCCCUCCCCAAGACGACGAUUCAGACGAUUCGUCGCUCCCAAUACGACGAUUCAGGCAAUUCCUCAUUCCCUAAGAUGACGAUUCACUCGAAUCAUCAAUAUAUUAAAGCGAUGUUCCAUCAUCUUCUUCAAUCUUCCUUCGUCAUUUCUUUAAUCGUACUUCCAUCUCAGAAAUCUUCCUUCGUCAUUUCUUCAAUCUUCCAUUUCCAGGGAUAGUGGUUUCCUGGCACUAGAAUAUGCCAUUCAUGGUCAGAGAAAGUAGAAGCAUGUAACUUUGAAGUUAUGGUCUCUUAAAUCAUUAGUAGGAAGAGGUGCCAUGACGUCACGGAUGAUAAAUCAGUUCGUCAAAAGUCCUUGAUUAUCUAAGCAUUUUAAGACAAAGAGAGUAUUCUGUGCAGCUCAAUGCUUCUCGGGUCAAAGUUCUUCAAGCUUGUGAUGACUUGUUUAGUGCCAUGAGAGAGACUACAUCAAAAGAUCUUUUGAAUGUCAGCCAUUACAAGUCCCAUCACCUUCACUAUUAUAAAGGACAUUUGAGAGCUCUAAUUAUCCAGAUUUGCAAAUUGUUGUUUGCUCAGGUUGUUGCUUAAACAAACAUGAUAUCAAUCGAUUGAUUGAAGCAGUCGUGAUUCUUAAACCAAAUAUAAAGAGCAGAUCCACCACCAAGUGCCUGCUUAUGUGGCAUUAUCCAGAUAUAUAUCAUGUGGUAAUACAAAAGUAUUAAUGAAACUUAUCAAAAAGUUCAAUUAGGAAGGAGUCUACACAUCAAAAUGUGGUGCAU
This is a long non-coding RNA of Cynara cardunculus var. scolymus (artichoke), 795 nucleotides long. RefSeq lists it as uncharacterized. The record is from RefSeq and is a predicted model, not a curated record. NCBI's taxonomy places the organism in Eukaryota, Viridiplantae, Streptophyta, Magnoliopsida, Asterales, Asteraceae. The transcript has 4 exons.